CGCGAAGGCAAGCGGAUCUCUUAAAGCUGUUCUCAGUUCGGACUGCAGUCUGCAACUCGACUGCACGAAGCUGGAAUCGCUAGUAAUCGCGGAUCAGCACGCCGCGGUGAAUACGUUCCCGGGCCUUGUACACACCGCCCGUCACACCAUGGAAGUCUGCAAUGCCCGAAGCCGGUGGCUUAACCACUUAUGUGGAAGGAGCCGUCUAAGGCAGGGCAGAUGACUGGGGUGAAGUCGUAACAAGGUAUC
Molecule: ribosomal RNA, 249 nt
Filed under: uncultured bacterium
Lineage: Bacteria
Description: partial 16S ribosomal RNA
Rfam family: Bacterial small subunit ribosomal RNA
Source: RNAcentral